Molecule: long non-coding RNA, 2774 nt
Filed under: Lactuca sativa (garden lettuce)
Lineage: Eukaryota; Viridiplantae; Streptophyta; Magnoliopsida; Asterales; Asteraceae
Description: long non-coding RNA (LSAT_LNC003539)
Source: RNAcentral
AAAUACUCUUUCCAUGUCUAUUGAUUAACUAAAACUUUAAAGAAUGUAAUUUCAUGCAUAAAAAGAUAAAAUAUAACGAUAUUUUGAACCGAUAAAAAUAUAAUCUCAAACAACGUUUAUUAAGACAUGAAAAUUUUAACUGCUUAAAGCUAAAUCAUCUAAUUUAUUUAUCAAAAUUACAAAGAUAAACAUUGUCUAUCCGCAUACUUUGACUUCUUAUUAUUAUUGUUACAAUAUUACACUUUAAAAAUUUGAUCUUGCAAUUUGACCAUUUCAUGCAAGUACAUUGUGGUCCUACCAUGAUUUACUUAGAUUCUCUAAAUUUUGAGAUCAACCACAUAUUUUUACUUUGGGUAAAAUUUCAUCCAAAUUUUGAGAUCAAACGUAUGUUUUUACUUGAUAACAUUGGGUAAAAUUUCAUUCAAAUUUUGAGAUCAAAUGUAUAUAUUUACUUGAUAGCAUCGGGUAAACUUUCAUCCUCUCUUACUUAAUUAAGAUAUUCAUUUUACAUUAAGUCAAACUUGAGAGCAAGAACAUUGAUUGAGAUUAACACUUAACUCAACCCUUACGGAAUUUCUUGAGUUUUUUUCUCUAUUUUUCUUUUGAAGGAGCACUUUAAAAUGUUUUACCUCAUAACUAUAGCAUGCACCUUUCUGACACUCAUAAGACUUUUAUGGAUUCAAAUAAUAUUUUGCAAGUUUUUCGAUUUUUUGCAACCAUAUAUUAGAAUGAAAUGGAAUAUUCUAGUUCUUAUAAAGUGAUUAUAUUUGUAAACAUGGUGUAAAAAGGAAGUGAUUUGUACGUAAGUAAAAGAAUACAUUUGUUGGCAGAAAGGAGGGCUCCACAGCAAUUCCAAUAAUCUUUUGGAUUCCAUUUUGCCCCUGCAGUCAAAUAUAUUUAUUCAUUUCUUUGUACUUAAUAGUCAUCUUACCUCAGGCAAAUGGGAUGCUACUUGGUCUAGAGACAAAGUCUGUCCAUCAAUGGUAAUAUACGUCCAGGCUUCAGAAUAUCAUUCAAUCCUAAACCUAUAAAAAAAUAUUCUCAAAACCUAUUCAAAAUUGAAAUAAAAUUAUAAUCCAUUUUGGUUUUCAUUUCGGGUGGUCAAAAGUGCAUGUAGCUAAUCCAAAUCCUAACCAGGUAACUCAAAGUGGGUCUUUAACCAUAAAAAAUGUAAGAAAUAGUAAUGUACUUUCUAUUUAAAGAACAUUAUUAUAAAAAGAUAGAUAUUUCAAACUAUAACAUUGUAACAGGAAAAAAUAAAAAUUAAGAUGCUAUCAAAAAGUCAAACAUAGCAGCCUAUCCAAAUUUAACCAUGUUCAGUAUCUCAAACUGUUUAAAAUUUACAAUGUAUCUUCAUGCUCUUGUAUAAAAUAUCACAUAUUUGAUAUGUUUUACAAUGUAUCUUAAAACUAUACAUAACACACAUAACUAAUUUCAUAUGUGCAAUCUACUAUACAUAAUUGUUUUCAAAUUAUAUAUAUAAUUAAUUAAUAUGAACGAUCACACAUACAUUUUCACCUUAAUUAUGAAACUUCCUUUUAUAGUCAUGUCUAGAAACAAAAAACUAAAACAUGAUUCCAAAUUAUAAAAAAUAAAAAUUUGACACCCAGAUACCUACAUGCUAAAUUCCAAACAUGAUUGUUAUAAGGUAAUACAUUUAUCUUUAAGCAUAAAUACACAAUUACACAAAAAAUAAAUUUUAAGCAUUAAAGCACAAGAGAACAUAACUAAUAGAUAACAUAUACCUUUAUUGCCCCAUGAAAAUUGGUUUGGCAGACAAUUUGCCUGUCAUAUCAUAAUUAACCUAAUCCUUGUUCUUUGAGUAUACAAAUUUCAUUUAAAAGGAUUUUGACAAUGUCAAAAUCCUAAUAAUAAAAGUUAGAAACACACAUACCUUAAAACUGCCAAAUACACAUACCUUUUCACCAUGUUCAACAACAUAUCCACUAUAACCCUCACAAAUUGAUUAGGCAAGUGAUCUCUAUCAAGUAGAAAAACGAAACUACAAAAUUGAUGUAAGCAUACUUAUAGAAUUUCCUUUUUCUGGUGAUGUUCUUAGACCUAGCACUACACAUGAGACCAAAGAUAUUUCAUUGAGAAAAAGUACUUUGAUUUCCAUCAAAAGAUUUAAAGUUUCAGAUAUAUAUAUAUAUAUAUAUCAAAACACCAUUAAUAAAAUUUAGAAAUGUGUUAAUAUAAUGAUAGAAGAUGAUAGAAGAUGAAAAUUAGUUAUUAAAACGAAAAAUGUGAUCAUACCUUACACAUGGUUGGAGUUAUAUUCUGGAAUAUUCUGGAAUGGGCUUAGUAAACAGCAAUAAACAAAAAAAAAACGUAAAAUCUACAAAAUCGAAAUCGACCUUUAAUAAAUCGUUUGUACUGUGGAUGGAAUGGAGGAUCGAUUCGGAGACCAUCACAUAGUCGUUAAUAACCCUCAGGAAAACUUGAGCCAUAUCAAUUCUAUGGCAGAUAAGAGAAGGAAUGGGAUAGAGAGGUGUAUUCGUAAUCCAUAAAAAGUUGCAACAUGUAGGUUUCAAAUUUUGGAUAAGAUUUGGUUGUUGAUUUCUUGAGAUGUAGACAGAAAUCCAUUUCAAUAUAUCCCUAAUUUUAUGCUGAGAACUUUAAAAUCAGAAACCAAAUCACAUAGAGGAACAGGAACAUGAUAAGAGGGCAUGUUGGCGAUCUAAUCGAAGAAAAUGAACAAAGUUUCCAAAACAAAGGAGAGAUUUAGGGAAUAAACGGAUGCGACGUAGGAAUAAAGAUAUUUUGGGUUUUAA